AUACUUAUCUGGCAGGGGAGACGCCUUGAUCACGAAGGAGGUUUUCCNNGGGCGAGGCUCAGCCAUUGCAUUCUGGCUGUGUGACCCCUGCAGUUUCCCUAAAUGCAGGAAACUCAAAUGGAUAAUUUGUGNUAGUGGGGUACUGCAUGUGUGCUUUCCCCUG
Molecule: small nuclear RNA, 163 nt
Filed under: Salvator merianae (Argentine black and white tegu)
Lineage: Eukaryota; Metazoa; Chordata; Lepidosauria; Squamata; Teiidae
Description: U1 spliceosomal RNA (ENSSMRG00000016241.1)
Rfam family: U1 spliceosomal RNA
About the family: U1 is a small nuclear RNA (snRNA) component of the spliceosome (involved in pre-mRNA splicing).
Source: RNAcentral